UAGGGAAUCUUCGGCAAUGGGGGGAACCCUGACCGAGCAACGCCGCGUGAGUGAAGAAGGUUUUCGGAUCGUAAAGCUCUGUUGUUAAGGAAGAACGAGUGUGAGAAUGGAAAGUUCAUACUGUGACGGUACUUAACCAGAAAGGGACGGCUAACUACGUGCCAGCAGCCGCGGUAAUACGUAGGUCCCGAGCGUUGUCCGGAUUUAUUGGGCGUAAAGCGAGCGCAGGCGGUUAGAAAAGUCUGAAGUGAAAGGCAGUGGCUCAACCAUUGUAGGCUUUGGAAACUGUUUAACUUGAGUGCAAGAGGGGAGAGUGGAAUUCCAUGUGUAGCGGUGAAAUGCGUAGAUAUAUGGAGGAACACCGGUGGCGAAAGCGGCUCUCUGGCUUGUAACUGACGCUGAGGCUCGAAAGCGUGGGGAGCAAACAGGAUUAGAUACCCUGGUAGUCCACGCCGUAAACGAUGAGUGCUAGGUGUUAGACCCUUUCCGGGGUUUAGUGCCGCAGCUAACGCAUUAAGCACUCCGCCUGGGGAGUACGACCGCAAGGUUG
RNAcentral lists this ribosomal RNA (550 nucleotides) under uncultured bacterium. Its description in RNAcentral is "bacterial SSU rRNA". It matches the Rfam family "Bacterial small subunit ribosomal RNA", at positions 355 to 896 of the family's 1533-position model. The record is from RNAcentral.